GGCCCAGAUCGUUUACCGUGAAAAAAUAAGAGUGUUCAAAGCAGGCAGAGCCAAUUCUGCCACCGAAUACAUAGCAUGGGAUCAUGGAAUAGGCCCUGUCCUCGUAUUUUCAGUUGGUUUGUAGCGUAGGAUAGGGUAUUGAUUAAUAGGGAUAGUUGGGGGCAUAAUAUUUAAUUGUCUGAGGUGAAAUUCUUUGAUUAUGAAAGAUAAUCUUGGAAAGCAUUGCCAAGGAUGUUUCUUAAUCAGAAGAAAGUUAGGGGAUCAAGAGAUCAGAUACCGUCAGUCUAACCAUAACGAUGCCGACCAGCGAUGGGACGGAAUACAAAACACCACCAUGGGUGCGGUCGUCCUGGCGUCUCGGUCCUUCACGGGCCGGGGCGCGGGGGCGGUGCCCGCUUGACACCG
RNAcentral lists this ribosomal RNA (405 nucleotides) under Acanthamoeba sp. RNAcentral describes it as "SSU rRNA". It matches the Rfam family "Eukaryotic small subunit ribosomal RNA", at positions 740 to 1100 of the family's 1831-position model. The record is from RNAcentral. Lineage: Eukaryota; Discosea; Longamoebia; Acanthamoebidae.